GAAACCGAGUCUUAACUGGGCGUUAAGUUGCAGGGUAUAGACCCGAAACCCGGUGAUCUAGCCAUGGGCAGGUUGAAGGUUGGGUAACACUAACUGGAGGACCGAACCGACUAAUGUUGAAAAAUUAGCGGAUGACUUGUGGCUGGGGGUGAAAGGCCAAUCAAACCGGGAGAUAGCUGGUUCUCCCCGAAAGCUAUUUAGGUAGCGCCUCGUGAAUUCAUCUCCGGGGGUAGAGCACUGUUUCGGCAAGGGGGUCAUCCCGACUUACCAACCCGAUGCAAACUGCGAAUACCGGAGAAUGUUAUCACGGGAGACACACGGCGGGUGCUAACGUCCGUCGUGAAGAGGGAAACAACCCAGACCGCCAGCUAAGGUCCCAAAGUCAUGGUUAAGUGGGAAACGAUGUGGGAAGGCCCAGACAGCCAGGAUGUUGGCUUAGAAGCAGCCAUCAUUUAAAGAAAGCGUAAUAGCUCACUGGUCGAGUCGGCCUGCGCGGAAGAUGUAACGGGGCUAAACCAUGCACCGAAGCUGCGGCAGCGACGCUGAUGCGUUGUUGGGUAGGGGAGCGUUCUGUAAGCCUGUGAAGGUGUGCUGUGAGGCAUGCUGGAGGUAUCAGAAGUGCGAAUGCUGACAUAAGUAACGAUAAAGCGGGUGAAAAGCCCGCUCGCCGGAAGACCAAGGGUUCCUGUCCAACGUUAAUCGGGGCAGGGUGAGUCGACCCCUAAGGCGAGGCCGAAAGGCGUAGUCGAUGGGAAACAGGUUAAUAUUCCUGUACUUGGUGUUACUGCGAAGGGGGGACGGAGAAGGCUAUGUUGGCCGGGCGACGGUUGUCCCGGUUUAAGCGUGUAGGCUGGUUUUCCAGGCAAAUCCGGAAAACUAAGGCUGAGGCGUGAUGACGAGGCACUACGGUGCUGAAGCAACAAAUGCCCUGCUUCCAGGAAAAGCCUCUAAGCAUCAGGUAACAUCAAAUCGUACCCCAAACCGACACAGGUGGUCAGGUAGAGAAUACCAAGGCGCUUGAGAGAACUCGGGUGAAGGAACUAGGCAAAAUGGUGCCGUAACUUCGGGAGAAGGCACGCUGAUAUGUAGGUGAAGUCCCUCGCGGAUGGAGCUGAAAUCAGUCGAAGAUACCAGCUGGCUGCAACUGUUUAUUAAAAACACAGCACUGUGCAAACACGAAAGUGGACGUAUACGGUGUGACGCCUGCCCGGUGCCGGAAGGUUAAUUGAUGGGGUCAGCGCAAGCGAAGCUCUUGAUCGAAGCCCCGGUAAACGGCGGCCGUAACUAUAACGGUCCUAAGGUAGCGAAAUUCCUUGUCGGGUAAGUUCCGACCUGCACGAAUGGCGUAAUGAUGGCCAGGCUGUCUCCACCCGAGACUCAGUGAAAUUGAACUCGCUGUGAAGAUGCAGUGUACCCGCGGCAAGACGGAAAGACCCCGUGAACCUUUACUAUAGCUUGACACUGAACAUUGAGCCUUGAUGUGUAGGAUAGGUGGGAGGCUUUGAAGUGUGGACGCCAGUCUGCAUGGAGCCGACCUUGAAAUACCACCCUUUAAUGUUUGAUGUUCUAACGUUGACCCGUAAUCCGGGUUGCGGACAGUGUCUGGUGGGUAGUUUGACUGGGGCGGUCUCCUCCUAAAGAGUAACGGAGGAGCACGAAGGUUGGCUAAUCCUGGUCGGACAUCAGGAGGUUAGUGCAAUGGCAUAAGCCAGCUUGACUGCGAGCGUGACGGCGCGAGCAGGUGCGAAAGCAGGUCAUAGUGAUCCGGUGGUUCUGAAUGGAAGGGCCAUCGCUCAACGGAUAAAAGGUACUCCGGGGAUAACAGGCUGAUACCGCCCAAGAGUUCAUAUCGACGGCGGUGUUUGGCACCUCGAUGUCGGCUCAUCACAUCCUGGGGCUGAAGUAGGUCCCAAGGGUAUGGCUGUUCGCCAUUUAAAGUGGUACGCGAGCUGGGUUUAGAACGUCGUGAGACAGUUCGGUCCCUAUCUGCCGUGGGCGCUGGAGAACUGAGGGGGGCUGCUCCUAGUACGAGAGGACCGGAGUGGACGCAUCACUGGUGUUCGGGUUGUCAUGCCAAUGGCACUGCCCGGUAGCUAAAUGCGGAAGAGAUAAGUGCUGAAAGCAUCUAAGCACGAAACUUGCCCCGAGAUGAGUUCUCCCUGACUCCUUGAGAGUCCUGAAGGAACGUUGAAG
Molecule: ribosomal RNA, 2193 nt
Filed under: Escherichia coli
Lineage: Bacteria; Pseudomonadati; Pseudomonadota; Gammaproteobacteria; Enterobacterales; Enterobacteriaceae
Description: partial 23S ribosomal RNA
Rfam family: Bacterial large subunit ribosomal RNA
Source: RNAcentral